AAGCUCGUAGUUGAAUUUCGGGAUCAAUAUUUCGGUCAUGCCGUUGGUAUGCACUGUUAUCAUUGAUUUCUCACCUUCUAAAGAACCGUAAUGCCAUUAAUUUGGUGUUACGGGGAAUUAGGACUGUUACCUUGAAAAAAUUAGAGUGUUUAAAGCAGGCUCACGCUUGAAUACAUUAGCAUGGAAUAAUGAAAUAGGACAUCCGAUUCUAUUUUGUUGGUUUCUAGGAUCGAUGUAAUGAUUAAUAGGGAUAGUUGGGGGCAUUAGUAUUCAAUUGUCAGAGGUGAAAUUCUUGGAUUUAUUGGAGACUAACUACUGCGAAAGCAUUUGCCAAGGAUGUUUUCAUUAAUCAAGAACGAAAGUUAGGGGAUCGAAGACGAUCAGAUACCGUCGUAGUCUUAACCAUAAACUAUGCCGACUAGGGAUCGGAUGAUGUUAAUUUUUUAAUGACUCAUUCGGCGCCUUACGGGAAACCAAAGUGUUUGGGUUCCGGGGGGAGUAUGGUCGCAAGGCUGAAACUUAAAGGAAUUGACGGAAGGGCACCACCAGGGGUGGAGCCUGCGGCUUAAUUUGACUCAACACGGGGAAACUCACCAGGUCCAGACAUAGUAAGGAUUGACAGAUUGAGAGCUCUUUCUUGAUUCUAUGGGUG
Molecule: ribosomal RNA, 652 nt
Filed under: uncultured Funneliformis
Lineage: Eukaryota; Fungi; Glomeromycota; Glomeromycetes; Glomerales; Glomeraceae
Description: SSU rRNA
Rfam family: Eukaryotic small subunit ribosomal RNA
Source: RNAcentral